RNAcentral lists this unclassified non-coding RNA (52 nucleotides) under Leptomonas seymouri. RNAcentral describes it as "gRNA". The record is from RNAcentral. Lineage: Eukaryota; Euglenozoa; Kinetoplastea; Trypanosomatida; Trypanosomatidae.
UUAUAAAAGAUCAUUUUUUCAUAUUAAACUUUCAUUAUCUUUUUUGUUAUUU